UAACCAUGGUGGGGACAUUGAAUGAGCAAUAUUUUGAACCUUUCCCAUGCCUCAUGGAACGGUUCGCCUUCAGCUUGCGAGAAAGUUAUAAUUUUUCUUCUUAACUCA
This 108-nucleotide small nucleolar RNA is filed under the name Ipomoea nil (Japanese morning glory). RNAcentral describes it as "Plant small nucleolar RNA R71". It matches the Rfam family "Plant small nucleolar RNA R71". From Rfam's summary of the family: R71 is a member of the C/D box family of snoRNAs containing the C (UGAUGA) and D (CUGA) box motifs. Multiple nearly identical copies of this snoRNA have been identified in Arabidopsis, and it is thought to function as a 2'-O-ribose methylation guide for 18S ribosomal RNA. Lineage: Eukaryota; Viridiplantae; Streptophyta; Magnoliopsida; Solanales; Convolvulaceae. The record is from Rfam by way of RNAcentral.